Long non-coding RNA from Mandrillus leucophaeus (drill), 933 nucleotides. RefSeq lists it as uncharacterized. NCBI's taxonomy places the organism in Eukaryota, Metazoa, Chordata, Mammalia, Primates, Cercopithecidae. The transcript is spliced from 5 exons. The record is from RefSeq and is a predicted model, not a curated record.
GACGAAUAGGAUAUCCCGACUCCUUAAGGGCCUGGAGCGCAUAAGUUGUGACCUUUUCAUUCCCGUUGUUAUGGAGGGCCACAUCUGCCAGAGCCUGGAGUCUGCGAAGGCCGGGACCCGGUUCUCCGGCCCGCCGUGGGGAGUGUGCAAACCCGAGAGAGCUGGGUUGCAAAUUCGUGAAGAUAUCAGCAGCAUGUUUGGCAGCUGAGUAUUGGAGCAAGGAGCCUGCCACAAGGUUUUGAGAACAGAGUGCCGUUUUAGAGCUGGCAGCAGCAUCUUAGCCCAAAAGAAGGUUAUAUUCCCAGAGGAUGUCAAUCCCAAGGACCAGUUUGGAUUAUGAAAACUUUAACCAGCAUCAACAUUGGGUGUAGAAACGUGAUUGCUUUGUGUAUCAGAGGACAUGCUCAGCAGAUCCAAGAGAUAUAUUUGGCAACUUUUUCUAGAAAAGGCACAUUGGGUAUCAUUCAUUACAUUCUUGAGUUUUUUUGGGUUUUUUUUUUUUUUUUUGAGACAGUCGUGCUGUGUUGCCCAGGCUGGAAUGUGGUGGCACAAUCACAGCUCAUUGCAGCCUCAAUCACCCAGGCCUAAGCAAUCCUCCCGCCUUGUAGCUGGGACUAUAGCUCACAGCACAUCUGGCUAAAAUUUUUUUUUUGUUGAGGCGGAUUCACUGUGUUACCCAGGCUGGUCUCAAGCUCCUGGGCUCAGAUGGUCCUCCUGCCUCAGCUUCCAAAGGCAUAGGCCACGUUGUAGCUUUGUCCCUUGCCAUCCUGCCCAACAGGGAGUGCCGUACCUUUUAAUGAACUGACUUUCAUAAAUUGGUUAUGUUCGUGGGCAAGUUCUUUAAACCGGAAAUUGUAAAUUCUUCCUGAAAUGUUUUUUCAUGCAGUUACCAUGAACUAAUACAAUAAAGGAUGGUCUUGGGUAUCGAUUCUU